This is a non-coding RNA of Ailuropoda melanoleuca (giant panda), 375 nucleotides long. NCBI's taxonomy places the organism in Eukaryota, Metazoa, Chordata, Mammalia, Carnivora, Ursidae. The record is from the annotation of a RefSeq genome assembly.
AUGGCCUGGUCCCUCGUCCUUCUCACCUUCCUUGCUCACUGCACAGGGUCCUGGGCCCAGGCUGUGUUGACUCAGCCGCCCUCUGUGUCUGGGGCCCUGGGCUAGACGGUCACCAUCUCCUGCAAUGGAAGCAGCUCCAACAUCGGGGGUGGAUAUUAUGUGAGCUGGCACCAACAGCUCCCAGGAACCGCCCCCAGAACUGUCAUCUAUAGUAAUAACAACCGACCGUCGGGGAUCCCAGAUCGAUUCUCUGGCUCCAAGUCUGGCAGCUCAGCCACCCUGACCAUCACUGGGCUCCAAGCUGAGGACGAGGCAGAUUAUUACUGUCAGUCCUAUGAUAGCAGUCCCAGUGCUCACACAGUGCUCCAGUCCUGA